UUCAGCGUCGCUAAUAUACACCACAUACACUCGUGGCGUAGGGUAGUGCUUUUUUUUAUUGUAGGAAAUUAAUUUUUCAGAUUGGCGGUUAGUACCGGCUUAAACUUCGGGCAAUCGUUUGGGUACCUGUCUGAACCUCAAUACGAAAGCUCGCAACAACAAUUUCCCCGAUAUUAGGGCCUCCGCCCGCGGCAUGGGACUUAUGCUCCUCGCCCAACUACAGCUCCGUACCAAAAAUUCCCAGCGCUAGGCCGAGCAGCACAAAGCGGGAGGCGUAAAAGAUCGGCUCAUCAGUCGCUUUGCGGGCGCGAGCCACUUAUGUGUCACGAACCCGAGAUAUAUUGGAGGCCGUCCAAUUCUGCGGAAAUUAUUAAAGCUAUGUAAACGCUUUCGUUUUAGGAACGUUGCCGCAGUCCAUGGAAGCGCUUUCAUCGCUGUUUCAACGCAUUUAUUAAAACAAAUCAAAGGAAGGUCGUAAGUGAUCCCAAAACAUAAAGAUAAAAUAUUGGAGUUUGUUUGUUAUGAGCAACUAUUUAUUGCAUGACCGAAAAAAAAAAAAACCUCACGUAGUCAGGGGCUUCGUCGCUUAAGAGAGGCUGUGCGCUCUCCAUUAUGCCCUGCUGGCAACCAUAAGCGCUUACGCCGCGCAUAAGAACCAGCCCUCUUAAGAACAAGGCACAAAAGGGAAGAUGCGAGGCUGGUCGCUCUGACGUUCUUUUAUGCUUUCUACUUGCGGUUGCUUUCGCUAAUGCACUUGAAUAACUGACCUGCCAUAACGAUCGCGGCGCACAGUUUUUACAUUCCCUUUUGCAUA
Long non-coding RNA from Drosophila miranda, 814 nucleotides. RefSeq lists it as uncharacterized. The record is from RefSeq and is a predicted model, not a curated record. NCBI's taxonomy places the organism in Eukaryota, Metazoa, Arthropoda, Insecta, Diptera, Drosophilidae. The transcript is spliced from 2 exons.